RNAcentral lists this ribosomal RNA (459 nucleotides) under uncultured bacterium. Its description in RNAcentral is "partial 16S ribosomal RNA". It matches the Rfam family "Bacterial small subunit ribosomal RNA", at positions 338 to 795 of the family's 1533-position model. The record is from RNAcentral.
CCUACGGGAGGCUGCAGUGAGGAAUAUUGGUCAAUGGGCGGGAGCCUGAACCAGCCAAGUCGCGUGAGGGAAGAAGGUACAGCGUAUUGUAAACCUCUUUUGUCAGGGAACAAAGGCGGGGACUAGUCCCCGGAUGAGGGUACCUGAAGAAAAAGCAUCGGCUAACUCCGUGCCAGCAGCCGCGGUAAUACGGAGGAUGCGAGCGUUAUCCGGAUUUAUUGGGUUUAAAGGGUGCGUAGGGGGCCUGUUAAGUCAGCGGUAAAAGCCCGGGGCUCAACCCCGGAGAGCCGUUGAAACUGGCAGGCUGGAGUUGGAGAGAAGUACGCGGAAUGCGCGGUGUAGCGGUGAAAUGCUUAGAUAUCGCGCAGAACCCCGAUUGCGAAGGCAGCGUACCGGCUCCACACUGACGCUGAGGCACGAAAGCGUGGGUAUCGAACAGGAUUAGAUACCCUUGUAGUC